AGAGAUUUAUCUACCGGUUUUCCGGAUAGAUACAGAAAGACGACGAACAACAAACUGGCUUAAGACAAAUUUUCUUUUUCGCUUAGCUGUCAUUCUUUUAAUAUAUAUACUGUAAGAGAAAUCCAACAAGUAGAGUCUCGUAGCUCAGCUGGUUAGAGCGCUACACUGAUAAUGUAGAGGUCGGCAGUUCGAGUCUGCCCGAGACUACUAGAAACGAUUACAAAUUUUGCUUUUGGAACUUAUUACAGUAAAUUAGAGAAUCUAGGGUUAGCAAUGCCCCUGAAAGAGGGAAAUUGUCUCCCGAUUUUCAGGUUAUGGGGGAUUAGCUCAGCUGGCUAGAGCGCUUGAUUUGCAUUCAAGAGGUCAUCGGUUCGACUCCGAUAUUCUCCACAAUAACGUUCAUUGACAUAUUGAAAAUACAAGAGUUAACUAUUAUAGAAAUAUAAUAGAGUAACGAGCAAAUAAUAGAGAAUUUUUUUUAGAAGCAAUUUUAAAGAAAGAGUAAUAAAGUUAC
This 514-nucleotide transfer RNA is filed under the name uncultured Flavobacteriaceae bacterium. RNAcentral's name for it is "16S-23S ribosomal RNA intergenic spacer". The stretch from base 134 to 207 matches the Rfam family "tRNA". The record is from RNAcentral. Lineage: Bacteria; Pseudomonadati; Bacteroidota; Flavobacteriia; Flavobacteriales; Flavobacteriaceae.